UGCCAAAGUGUUGAGGGGACCGC
RNAcentral lists this non-coding RNA (23 nucleotides) under Mus musculus (house mouse). Lineage: Eukaryota; Metazoa; Chordata; Mammalia; Rodentia; Muridae. The record is from RNAcentral.